AGUUAUAAACUUAAAUAAAUAUAAGAUUAUGAUUUGAAAUCAUAAUAAAAGGGUUAAAUCCCUUAUUAACUU
Molecule: transfer RNA, 72 nt
Filed under: Idolomantis diabolica
Lineage: Eukaryota; Metazoa; Arthropoda; Insecta; Mantodea; Empusidae
Description: tRNA-Ser
Source: RNAcentral